This is a non-coding RNA of Microcebus murinus (gray mouse lemur), 476 nucleotides long. NCBI's taxonomy places the organism in Eukaryota, Metazoa, Chordata, Mammalia, Primates, Cheirogaleidae. The record is from the annotation of a RefSeq genome assembly.
CAUUGUCAGGAGAGAUGACAUCACAAGAAAUCCACCAACCAGGGCCAAAGAGAACAGAUCUCAGUCUCCUUGCCCAGAGCAGCCCAGGACCCUGACACCAUCUUGUCCUGACGCUACCAUGGGCUGCAGGCUGCUGUGCUGUGUGGUCCUCUGUCUCCUGGGAGCAGUCCCCACGGACACUGGAGUUACCCAGACGCCAAGACACCUGGUCAUGGGAAUGACAGAUAAGAAGUCUUUGAAGUGUCACCAAAAUCUGGGACACAAUGCUAUGUACUGGUAUAAACUGAGUGCUAAGAAGCCACCGGAGCUCAUGUUUUACUACUACUAUCAGGCACUCAGAGAAAACAUGACUGUUCCAAGUCGCUUCUCACCCGAAUGUCCUGAUAACUCUCACUUGUACCUUCACCUGGACGCCCUGCAGCCAGAAGACUCCGCCACGUACCUCUGUGCCAGCAGCCAAGACACAGCGUUGCAGA